This is a long non-coding RNA of Oncorhynchus keta (chum salmon), 2695 nucleotides long. RefSeq lists it as uncharacterized. NCBI's taxonomy places the organism in Eukaryota, Metazoa, Chordata, Actinopteri, Salmoniformes, Salmonidae. The record is from RefSeq and is a predicted model, not a curated record. The transcript is spliced from 5 exons.
GUGAGUUAGUUCUCCUCCACUCCCUGAUCAGAUGGUGAGUUAGUUCUCCUCCACUCCCUGAUCAGGUGGUGAGUUAGUUCUCCUCCACUCCCUGAUCAGGUGGUGAGUUAGUUCUCCUCCACUCCCUGAUCAGAUGGUGAGUUAGUUCUCCUCCACUCCCUGAUCAGAUGGUGAGUUAGUUCUCCUCCACUCCCUGAUCAGAUGGUGAGUUAGUUCUCCUCCACUCCCUGAUCAGAUGGUGAGUUAGUUCUCCUCCACUCCCUGAUCAGAUGGUGAGUUAGUUCUCCUCCACUCCCUGAUCAGAUGGUGAGUUAGUUCUCCUCCACUCCCUGAUCAGAUGGUGAGUUAGUUCUCCUCCACUCCCUGAUCAGAUGGUGAGUUAGUUCUCCUCCACUCCCUGAUCAGAUGGUGAGUUAGUUCUCCUCCACUCCCUGAUCAGAUGGUGAGUUAGUUCUCCUCCACUCCCUGAUCAGAUGGUGAGUUAGUUCUCCUCCACUCCCUGAUCAGAUGGUGAGUUAGUUCUCCUCCACUCCCUGAUCAGAUGGUGAGUUAGUUCUCCUCCACUCCCUGAUCAGAUGGUGAGUUAGUUCUCCUCCACUCCCUGAUCAGAUGGUGAGUUAGUUCUCCUCCACUCCCUGAUCAGAUGGUGAGUUAGUUCUCCUCCACUCCCUGAUCAGAUGGUGAGUUAGUUCUCCUCCACUCCCUGAUCAGGUGGUGAGUUAGUUCUCCUCCACUCCCUGAUCAGGUGGUGAGUUAGUUCUCCUCCACUCCCUGAUCAGAUGGUGAGUUAGUUCUCCUCCACUCCCUGAUCAGAUGGUGAGUUAGUUCUCCUCCACUCCCUUAUCAGAUGGUGAGUUAGUUCUCCUCCACUCCCUGAUCAGAUGGUGAGUUAGUUCUCCUCCACUCCCUGAUCAGAUGGUGAGUUAGUUCUCCUCCACUCCCUGAUCAGAUGGUGAGUUAGUUCUCCUCCACUCUGGCUACUCAGAUGAUGAGAGCCAACCCUGUAAUAUGUUAGUAUGGUAGCGAGUGGUCAGAACAGACUGUGAGACAGGGUUUGACAGGUCUGCGUUUCAGCUAGACCUCUCACUCCACAAAUGUAUUGUGUUCCUUUUAAACAGCUUGGACAAUUCCUGAAAAUGAUGUCAUGGCUUUAGGAGCUUCUGAUAGGCUAAUUGACAUCAUUUGAGUCAUUUGGAGGUGUACCUGUGGAUGUAUUUCAAUGCCUACCUUUAAACUCAGUGCCUCUUUGCUUGACAUUUAAUUUUACCUUUAUUUAACCAGGCAAGUCAGUUAAGAACAUAUUCUUAUUUUCAAUGACGGCCUAGGAACAGUGGGUUAACUGCCUGUUCAGGGGCAGAAUGAAAGAUUUGUACCUUGUCAGCUCGGGGGUUUGAACUCGCAACCUUCCGGUUACUAGUCCAACGCUCUAACCACUAGGCUACGCUGCCGACAUCAUGGGAAAAUCAAAAGAAAUCAGCCAAGACCUCAGAAAAACAACCUCCAAAGUCUGAUUCAUCUUUGGGAGCAAAUUCCAAAUGCCUAAAGGUACCACAUUCAUCUGUACAAACAAUAGUACGCAAGUAUGAACACCAUGGGACCACGCAGCCAUCAUACCGCUCAGGAAGGAGGCGUUGGCCGAGGUUGGAGUAGCCAGGAGGAAGGCAUGGCCAGCCGCUGAGAAAUGCUUAUUGCAAUUUUCGAUUAUCAUGGAUUUAUCAGUGGUGACAGUGUUCCCUAGCCUCAGUGCAGUGGGAGCUGGGAGGAGGUGCUCUUGUUCUCCAUGGAUUUAUCAGUGGUGACCAUGUCGCCUAGCCUCAGUGCAGUGGGAGCUGGGAGGAGGUGCUCUGGUUCUCAAUGGAUUUAUCAAUGGUGACAGUGUUUCCUAGCCUCAGUGCAGUGGGAGCUGGGAGGAGGUGCUCUUGUUCUCCAUGGAUUUAUCAGUGGUGACCGUGUUCCCUAGCCUCAGUGCAGUGGGCAGCUGGGAGGAGGUGCUCUUGUUCUCCAUGGAUUUAUCAGUGGUGACAGUGUUACCUAGCCUCAGUGCAGUGGGCAGCUGGGAUGAGGUGCUCUUGCUCUCCAUGGACUUUACAGUGUCCCAGAACUUUUUGGAGUUGGAGCUACAGGAUGCAAACUUCUGCCUGAAGAAGCUGGCCUUUGCUUUCCUGACUGACUGCGUGUAUUGGUUCCUGACUUCCCUGAACAGUUGCAUAUCGUUGGGACUAUUCGAUGCUAUUGCAGUCCGCCACAGGAUGUUUUUGUGCUGGUCGAGGGCAGUCAGGUCUGGAGUGAACCAAGGGCUAUAUCUGUUCUUAGUCCUACAUUUUUAGAAAGGGGCAUGCUUAUUCAAGAUGGUGAUGAAAGCACGUUUAAAGAACAACCAGGCAUCCUCUACUGACGGGACGAGGUCAAUAUCCUUCCAGGAUACCCGGGCCAGGUCGAUUGGAAAGGCCUGCUCGCAGAAGUGUUUUAGGGAGCGUUUGACAGUGAUGAGGGGUGGUCGUUUGACUGCAGACCCGUAGCGGAUACAGGCAAUGAGGCAGUGAUCGCUGAGAUCCUGAUUGAAGACAGCGGAGGUGUAUUUGGAGGGCCAGUUGGUCAGGAUGACGUCUAUGAGGGUGUCCGUGUUUACGGAUUUAGGGUUGUACCUGGUGGGGUCCUUGAUGAUUUGUGUGAGAUUGAGGGCAUCUAGCUUAGA